GGGAAUCUUCCACAAUGGGCGAAAGCCUGAUGGAGCAACGCCGCGUGGGUGAAGAAGGUCUUCGGAUCGUAAAACCCUGUUGUUAGAGAAGAACAAGGACGUUAGUAACUGAACGUCACCUGACGGUAUCUAACCAGAAAGCCACGGCUACCUACGUGCCAGCAGCCGCGGUAAUACGUAGGUGGCAAGCGUUAUCCGGAUUUAUUGGGCGUAAAGAGAACGCAGGCGGUCUUUUAAGUCUGAUGUGAAAGCCUUCGGCUUAACCGGAGUAGUGCAUUGGAAACUGGGAGACUUGAGUGCAGAAGAGGAGAGUGGAACUCCAUGUGUAGCGGUGAAAUGCGUAGAUAUAUGGAAGAACACCAGUGGCGAAAGCGGCUCUCUGGUCUGUAACUGACGCUGAGGUUCGAAAGCGUGGGUAGCA
Molecule: ribosomal RNA, 421 nt
Filed under: uncultured bacterium
Lineage: Bacteria
Description: bacterial SSU rRNA
Rfam family: Bacterial small subunit ribosomal RNA
Source: RNAcentral